GACCUGUUAGCUCAGCGGCAGAGCAUCAAGAGUAAUGUCCUUGAAGGCCAAGGGUUCGAAUCCCUUACGGGUCG
RNAcentral lists this transfer RNA (74 nucleotides) under Thalassospira xiamenensis. RNAcentral describes it as "tRNA_Opal_TCA". It matches the Rfam family "tRNA". From Rfam's summary of the family: Transfer RNA (tRNA) molecules are approximately 80 nucleotides in length. Their secondary structure includes four short double-helical elements and three loops (D, anti-codon, and T loops). The record is from RNAcentral. Lineage: Bacteria; Pseudomonadati; Pseudomonadota; Alphaproteobacteria; Rhodospirillales; Thalassospiraceae.